RNAcentral lists this ribosomal RNA (446 nucleotides) under uncultured bacterium. Its description in RNAcentral is "bacterial SSU rRNA". It matches the Rfam family "Bacterial small subunit ribosomal RNA", at positions 958 to 1398 of the family's 1533-position model. The record is from RNAcentral.
AACGCGAAGAACCUUACCAGACCUUGACAUGUCUGCUAUGAGCUACAGAGAUGUAGUUCUUCACUUCGGGUGGGCAGAACACAGGUGCUGCAUGGCUGUCGUCAGCUCGUGUCGUGAGAUGUUGGGUUAAGUCCCGCAACGAGCGCAACCCUCAUCUUUAGUUGCCAUCAGGUCAAGCUGGGCACUCUAAAGAAACCGCCGGUGACAAGCCGGAGGAAGGCGGGAUGACGUCAAGUCCUCAUGGCCCUUACGGUCUGGGCUACACACGUACUACAAUGGUGGUGGACAGUGGGCGUGCGAAGUCGCAAGAUAGGAGCCAAUCCCCAAAAGCCAUCUCAGUUCAGAUUGCACUCUGCAACUCGAGUGCAUGAAGUUGGAAUCGCUAGUAAUCGCAGAUCAGCACGCUGCGGUGAAUACGUUCCCGGGCCUUGUACACACCGAGUAUA